Long non-coding RNA from Helianthus annuus (common sunflower), 438 nucleotides. RefSeq lists it as uncharacterized. Lineage: Eukaryota; Viridiplantae; Streptophyta; Magnoliopsida; Asterales; Asteraceae. The transcript is spliced from 3 exons. The record is from RefSeq and is a predicted model, not a curated record.
UGUCGCCUGGAACAAGAAAGCAAGAACCAAACCCUCAACAUCAUAGAAUCAUCAAAUUGAAAGGGAAUCCAUGGCCUAAAUCACUGCAUGUGCACAUAGAAACGUUCAACUAAGUUAGUCUAUCGAAUGGAGUGAAAGAGGAAGACGCAAGCCAUUCCGGAUCGCAAGCAAAACACGACAAAGGUAAAGCAACUUGAUCAAUGGCAGUACUUGGACCGAACACACUAUUGAUGCACGCUUCCGCGAAGAUCCUAGUCAUGGUCUAAACUUUUGGUUAAAUGUUUUUGUUUAAAUGGGUCUUUUGAACGUUAAUUAACCCGGUAGUGGUUAGACGUUAAAUGUGUAGUUAAAGACUUGGUUGGUCUUCAUGAAAUAUUUGGGCUAUAAACUCUUUGUAACUAUUUUCUUAGUUAAUAUGAAGUUAAAUGCAGAAUUUUA